GAGGCCAGGUGGGGCGGGGCGGGGCAGGGCGUGGCGCUCAGCUCUGCAGACCCAGGACUCCCUGACCCUGCAGGCAAUGUUUUCCUGUGGCCACUGCUUUCCUCCAGUCUUAGUCUCCCUGAAGUCCUCGGUUGCUGGCCGGCAACACCAAGCCUGUGCUGUUUCCCCCCUCUCGCCUGGGUGCAGGAUUUGUGAAUGGCAAGGCCAAAGCAUUUGGAGCAGGUUCCUUGGAAUUUGCAUUGGAGGACAUCAGCACAGGUGGAAAUCUGCGGCAUUUGAUCCUCUAUAGCAGAAAAGCCAGCUCUGCCAAAAGUGUCUGGAAAAGGAGUCGGGACAAGAUCCCAGCACGUGCACAGAGCAGAUCCCAAGGCCUGCACUGUGGACAUCUCGGAGAACUCCAGCAGGUUGCAGGUUUUCUACAUGAGAGUGGAGUUCUGACCUCAUUCUGAAGAUGGGCGCCACCCGAAGGACAGUCCAGGUCCAGGUCUUGCGCUGUGUUCUCCUGCAUGGUGGCCCACCCGCACGCAGUAGCGUGUUCUUCUUUUCCUGCUUUUAUUUGGCACAAACUCAUUGUGCAGAGCCUGUUUCUUUUCCUAUCUCUAAUAAAACUUUGCUGGUUUGUGGUUUUCUUGA
Cavia porcellus (domestic guinea pig) is the source of this 633-nucleotide long non-coding RNA. RefSeq lists it as uncharacterized. NCBI's taxonomy places the organism in Eukaryota, Metazoa, Chordata, Mammalia, Rodentia, Caviidae. The transcript is spliced from 3 exons. The record is from RefSeq and is a predicted model, not a curated record.